CCCCGGCGUCUGAUUGGAAGCGAUUAAGCAAACAUGAGCAGACACAUUAAAGUGUAAUGGACUUCUUCUCUGCCGGCACGUGUUACUAUAACUCACAUCUAUCUCGUGGCACAAAUCACGUGUUGAUGCAAUGAAUAAUGAACCAGCAAGGUACGGCACUGCCUCACAGGUCACCGGCCUGUGCCAAGUGUGUGGCGGCACUGCACACCACAUCCGGGAUUCCCCCGUUGGUCACACCCCCCACCCCCUCCAAUUGGAAUCAGUGGCGGAUCUUGAAAUUUCCCAAGGUGGAGGAUAAUGUCCCAAAAAUGUAAGCUUGGUAAAUUUGGCCCUAUUUUAAAAUAGAGGUUUUUUUAUAUUCAAUGUAUUUUUUUCUGGUAAAUAUCUACAAGACACCGAUUUUCUGGGUCUCAAGAGGGAGGCGAUCACCAAAUGCUUUCAUAUCUGCUAUUCGCAGUAACGUCAAUUAUAAAAUAUCACAGCGAGAAUGUGUUGUUUAUUUAUUUAUUGUUAUUAGCUCAAUUUAGGACUGUGGAGCUUCACUCUUCCAUCAUCACUCCCAUGUUCGUGCUUCUUCUACAUCACACAAUGGAGCCACUCAGCAGUAACACCAACAGCAGUUAGAAACAUAAUAUAAUCGAAGAGCGGAAGUGGCUCAAUUUAGUUUGUGAAGAUGGUCCCAGCACGUGGAGUGAAACGUCGGGCAUAAUGCAGAUAACCUUGAGAAAAACAUUAGGGAAAAUGUUGUUAUUUAUCGUCAUUACGCACACACAGACACAUUAUGUGCUUCUCGCCAAAGUCACAUUUUCUUUGAAAUUGAAUUUUUAAAAAUUUAUUUGAUGCAAUUUUAUAAAAAUCUGUUCAAGUGACACGCAUGAUCUUCAGUGUAUAUAUAUUAUGAUUUACGGCACAUGCUGUCUUAUCAGCGGCUGUUCUAAACUUGAAAAAACGUGAACAUUUCCAUUCCUCGAGGAAUAAGAUGAGUUUUGGAUAUUCUGAAUUCAAAUCAGGCCAAGUAAAAUGCACCAAAGGUAGUGUUCUCUCUACACAUAGUUAAUCUUAGUGACCUCUCACAGCGUGAGAUGCACUGCUCUUUGUACCUUCCCAGUCACGCCACUUCCUACCAAUAAAAUGACAGCACCCACUUGCCCUUUGCCUGGGCAGACACCCUUUGAACGCUUGCACAAAAGUAAACCACAACCUUACCCGUACAAACAGAGGAGCGCAGAAUACAGGCCACCUAUCCUGUCCUGCUGCCCUCCAACUGCUGCCCAAUGUGCCACAUUACCCACAAAGCCACCCAGCCUGCAAUGCUGCCCUUCACUGCUACUCAAUAAGCCACUGCACUCACAGAUGCGAUUUCCAGCACAAAUAAUAAAAGCGUUCUCUAUUGUCAAUUAGUUCAAGACCAAUGUUAUAUAUAUUACUCAUAAACUAAAAUAUUAUAUAUAUACAAGUUAAUUGUAUGGCUUUGUUGGAAAAUGAAGGGAAACUCGUGGUUAAAAUAAUAAUCAUUAUUAUGAGUCCUUUAUCAGAGUUUGGCUAUUCAAAUGUAUGUAAUCUGUUAAAUGCAAAUGUUAGCCUGUGAUUGCUGGCUCGAUUCCUCUUCUCGUCAUUGCGCUCACGCUGUAUUCAGGACGUGUAUUCAGUUGUGUGAAAUGCAAUAUAAAUAAUACAAUGUUUUCGAUGAUAAUCACCACAAGUCACCCACAAAGUCACCCAUGGUGGCCAAUUGUAUGAAAGAGGACUACCUUUUUUCCAUCACAUGUUACACUUCCAAAAAAACUACAAGUCAUUGUUUGCUAUGUGCGUCGGUUGGGAGUGUUGCGCAAGAGCUGCCAUGGCUAUAUGGGGAUAUAAUUGGGUGGAAUAAGCGGAGCGAGGGGAAUGUAAAAGCUCACGUGAGUGUGUGCACAACUUCAAGUGGGUGAAAAGGUGGCAGGGCGUGUACGUGUUUGCGAAUGCUGAGUUUGUGUACGGGCAAAAGGUCACUUGGAUAAAGCUACCUCUCCAACAGAUCCAUCAGAGUUGUAUUGUCUGGUCAGGCUUCAGAACCUUCUCCCAUCAACGCCUCUGUACCACAAGGAUCAAUUUUCGGUUCACUUCUCUUCUCCAACUUCAUUGACGAGCUGUUCAAUGCAUGCGUGAACCUGCUGUACCGCUACGCUGACGACUCAACCCUCUAUACUCCAAUAAGAUCACCUGCAGAAAGCAACGCAGUGGCAGCUAGCCUGAACAGGGAUCUUCAUCAAAUUAACAUCUGGACAGACAAAUGGAAGAUCACCUUCGAACCAUCAAAGUGUCAGACCAUGACACUAUCUUGGAAGAGAAUUCCAUCCAAGCUGGAUCUGCAUUUUGGUGACUGUCAGCUAGCAUCAAUCAACAAGCUCGAGAUCGUCGGUGUUACCAUUGACAGCAAGCUCACGUGGUGAAAACAUCUCAACAACAUCUCCAUCAGAGCAGGACAAAAACUGGGUGCACUCAAGAAAGGUGGCCAACAAACUACAAAGCUCAUACCUGCGGUGUCGUGGAGUACGCCUCUUUUUGCUGUAUGAAUGCCCCACUAAGUCAACCUCAGCCUUCUCUUUUAUUUUAUUAUGUUUAAUUUUUAUUAUUUUAUUAUUUUCCUUCUACGUGACUUUACCGAAAGAACCAAGAAGAUGAAUCCCUGCAGUCACGAAAGAAGCUUUAAAUCGAAAUUUGACCUCCACUACGGGGUGGGUUUCCACAAAGCUUUAAGAUGCUUCAACAAGCUCCGGGAUAAGAAGGCUCCAUUCAGAGUCUGCCUUCUCGACAGACCUGUUCUCCACCUGAAGAUGGCUGCUUGCGUUGUGGCCGAAACGUCGUGAGAAUUAUUUAAUUAUGUUUUACUUUUAUUAUUUUCCUUCUACGUGACUUUACCGAAAGAACCAAGAAGAAGACUCAGCCUUCUCGACAAAAUACAGACGGUGCUUCAAAUAACUGGUGUUGAUGAAGCCACCGCCAGCAAACAGCUCACCACCCCCAGCCUGCAUCACCGUCGACAAGUCACUUCUAUCACAGUCAUGUAUAAAAUUCACACCAACUACUGCCCCCACAGACCUUCAGGCCAUGCUUCCACCUCCAUAUGAAAGACGCCGUGCCACCUGAUUAAGCACAACCCUGCCAAGCCACGUCCUUGCCCCCCCCUCCAGUUGCCAGAACAUGGACAGAAGCUCCCUUCACUCGACUGUCCGGAUAUGGAACUGCCUCCCUGAACACAUUUGUCGGCGAAAUCACCGAUUUCGGUCUUCAGUCCUUCAAAUGCUGAGCACAUGGACAUCUCCUAACUUCACCACACGUCUUGUAAGACUGAAUCUUUGAGCUGCAGUGAACCAAUGAUUAUGCCGAUUAGAUGUACUAAUGUCUAAUAUGGCUGUUGUUCACAAUCGUACCUAAUAAAAAGGUCA
This is a long non-coding RNA of Lethenteron reissneri (Far Eastern brook lamprey), 3428 nucleotides long. RefSeq lists it as uncharacterized. The record is from RefSeq and is a predicted model, not a curated record. Lineage: Eukaryota; Metazoa; Chordata; Hyperoartia; Petromyzontiformes; Petromyzontidae.